CCCUGCUGCUCUGGUACAGGAGCCCAGCCCAGAAUUCCCAGGUGUUCCCAGUCACUUCUCAGGGCAGAACACAGACCUCUCACCAUGGAGUUUGGGCUCAUCUUGACUUUCCUUGUUGCAAUUUUAAGAGGUGUCCAGUCUGAGGUGCAGCUGGUGGAGUCUGGCGGAGGCUUGGUGAAGCCUGGAGGGUCUCUGAGACUCUCUUGCAUGGCUUCUGGAUUCAUCUUCAGCAGCUACACAAUGUACUGGGUCCGCCAGGCUCCAGGGAAGGGGCUGGAGUGGGUCUCAGCAAUUAGUGGUAGUGGUGGUAGCACGGUCUACACCAACUCUGUGAAGGGCCGAUUCACCAUCUCCAGAGAUGAUGGCAAGAACACGCUCUACCUGCAAAUGAACAGCCUGAGAUCUGAGGACACAGCUGUGUAUUACUGUGCGAAAGACACAGUGAGUGGAAGUCAUUGUGAGCCCAGGCAUAAACCUCCCUGUGGGAGACAGGAGGACUGGGCUGUAGGGAAGGCUCAGGACAGCAGGGGGCGCGCGGGUCACACUGAGCACAGUUAA
Molecule: non-coding RNA, 558 nt
Organism: Phyllostomus discolor (pale spear-nosed bat)
Lineage: Eukaryota; Metazoa; Chordata; Mammalia; Chiroptera; Phyllostomidae
Source: the annotation of a RefSeq genome assembly